GUUCCUAGUAAAAAUUUGCCAAUCCAGUAAAGGAGGCCAGGUCAAGCCUUGGCAAAACGAAAAAAUCGCCAUUUUUUAACCAAAAUUCACCAUCAUGCAAUUCCAAGGAACAAAUAUUUCUUCAACUUGCAAUUCUAGUCUUACGAGAAGCAAAUUUUUUCUCCAUAUUUUGAGCUUGGUUAUCCCAAAACAAAAUAAGUUUGUGCUACAAGGUAACCAUGGAACAGUUUAUGUCCCAACUCCUAAUGAGGAAUUAAAUUGCCAUAUGGUUGACUAACCUUUUCUUUCUCAUUUUCCUCACAUUAUCUAAUCACAAGAUAAAUGAACCAGAAAUAAGCACUAACUUUUAGCUUUGUUGACAAAUCAACAGAUUUCAGUUAGCAUCAGGUCAUUUAAAACUAACCAAAGG
RNAcentral lists this unclassified non-coding RNA (409 nucleotides) under Hevea brasiliensis (rubber tree). The record is from RNAcentral. Lineage: Eukaryota; Viridiplantae; Streptophyta; Magnoliopsida; Malpighiales; Euphorbiaceae.